This 208-nucleotide ribosomal RNA is filed under the name uncultured bacterium. RNAcentral's name for it is "partial 16S ribosomal RNA". It matches the Rfam family "Bacterial small subunit ribosomal RNA", at positions 568 to 775 of the family's 1533-position model. The record is from RNAcentral.
AGCGUAGGUGGUUGUGCAAGUUGUAUGUGAAAGCCCCAGGCUUAACCUGGGAACUGCAUACAAAACUGUACUUCUAGAGUGUGGGAAAGGCAAGUGGAAUUCCUAGUGUAGCGGUAGAAUGCGUAGAGAUUAGGAGGAACACCAGAGGCGAAGGCGGCUUGCUGGAACACAACUGACACUGAGGCUCGAAAGCGUGGGGAGCAAACAG